This 253-nucleotide ribosomal RNA is filed under the name uncultured bacterium. Its description in RNAcentral is "partial 16S ribosomal RNA". It matches the Rfam family "Bacterial small subunit ribosomal RNA", at positions 524 to 776 of the family's 1533-position model. The record is from RNAcentral.
UACAGAGGGUGCGAGCGUUGUCCGGAAUCACUGGGCGUAAAGGGCGCGUAGGUGGCGACCCAAGUCAAUGGUGAAAGCUCGAUGCUCAACAUCGAGUCGGCCACUGAUACUGGGUUGCUCGAGCACUGUAGAGGCAGAUGGAAUUCCGGGUGUAGCGGUGGAAUGCGUAGAGAUCCGGAAGAACACCGGUGGCGAAGGCGGUCUGCUGGGCAGUUGCUGACACUGAGGCGCGACAGCAUGGGGAGCAAACGGG